UACAGAGGGGGCGAGCGUUGUUCGGAAUUACUGGGCGUAAAGAGCUCGUAGGUGGUUUGUCGCGUUGUCCGUGAAAACUCACAGCUUAACUGUGGGCGUGCGGGCGAUACGGGCAGACUGGAGUACUGCAGGGGAGACUGGAAUUCCUGGUGUAGCGGUGGAAUGCGCAGAUAUCAGGAGGAACACCAGCGGCGAAGGCGGCACUCUGGGCUGAUACUGACGCUGAGGCGCGAAAGCCAGGGGAGCAAACGGG
RNAcentral lists this ribosomal RNA (253 nucleotides) under uncultured bacterium. RNAcentral's name for it is "partial 16S ribosomal RNA". It matches the Rfam family "Bacterial small subunit ribosomal RNA", at positions 524 to 776 of the family's 1533-position model. The record is from RNAcentral.